CCUCCUUUCUAUCGGAGUACAUUUUAGAUUAUUACACCAUAUUAGAAUAUUUUAAAUAUUUGUGUACUUUUUAUAGAAAACCCCCACAUCAAUAAACCUAAAUAAAAAAUUAUUUUUUGGGCGGAUUCUAUUUAGUUUUGAGAGAUAUUUUCUCUCAUGAUAGUUCUUUGAAAACUGAAUAUUGUACAAUCUUUUUGUUCUAAUCAUAUCUA
RNAcentral lists this unclassified non-coding RNA (212 nucleotides) under Malacoplasma muris. Its description in RNAcentral is "Mycoplasma muris partial miscellaneous RNA". Lineage: Bacteria; Bacillati; Mycoplasmatota; Mycoplasmoidales; Mycoplasmoidaceae. The record is from RNAcentral.